UCUUACCUGAAAGCCAAAUACAUAAACAAGGGGAUGAACCCACCCCCCACCCGCUUAAAAUGCUAGAAAGGGAGCUGUCUGAUGUGGUCCUGAAGCGGAGUUUAACCUCAGGGCUAAACUCGGAGCAAGGAAAGCAUGAAUGAGCAUGUUUUCAAGCAUGGGAGCUGCAAUCGUGUGUAGCUAGCCAUCUGCUGAGAUGAGGCGGCCACGUAAUAAAUGCCAGAGCACUGCUGGGUAUCAGCAUAACGUGCUGAAAGUUGGAGAAUGUUUCUCAAAGGAGAAAACUGGCCACCUCCGCGCCUGAAACCACAAGUGCUUGGUCUCCUGAGUUGUUUUCACAGAGUGUCCCCUGAACCCAAUUACUCAACUUUUAAAGAUUCGCCUGUGCCUGACAUUUCGUAUACACGGAAUCAGAUGACAUGUGGCCGUCUGUGUCAGCCUUCUACUCGGCACGUUUUCGAGCUUCAUCCGGGUGGUGGCAUAUGCGUCAUUCCCCUCAUGGCUGCUACCACCUGACUGGGGGAAGGGGUUAAGGGUGCCUGCUGUACAGGGCUGUGCGUGUGUGAAGACCAGAGGUUGUACAAGCACCAAGCAUGAUGCCAACAUAGUGGGCACUCCCAGAAUGAGCUAUGGUUGAAAACCCUAAAAGACCUCUUUAAAAGACACUUUUACGGAGUUCCCGUCGUGGCGCAGUGGUUAACGAACCCAACU
Molecule: long non-coding RNA, 711 nt
Organism: Phacochoerus africanus (Common warthog)
Lineage: Eukaryota; Metazoa; Chordata; Mammalia; Artiodactyla; Suidae
Exons: 4
Source: RefSeq, a predicted model, not a curated record